UGGAUUUACUAGGAAGGUGGGACGUUGGAGGGGCGGCCGCAUGGAGUAAGUACUGUCUCUGGCCACCCGGCAGAGCCAGUGACAGUAGCGUCCUGGUAGGCAGGCAGGCGUAUCAGGUUUCAGAGGAUGCGGCUGGGAACGGGAGUAGAGGUGAGGGGACGUUGCAUCUGUCGCGGUGUGUAUCUUUUGGGGGUUCAGCGCCACCAGCGACCUGGGCCUCAUUCAUCGCGCUUACAUUUCUCCACCUCAUUUGAAGAACGAGCUUGGUAGCCCACGGAGCUGAGGUAUAUGAGCUCCCUGAAAGCACAAAGCAGUUAUUUCAAUCUUCAGAUCAUUCAGAGAUUAUGAAGGCACAAACCCUGCCUUCAAUUUGCUUAUAGUCAAGUGGAGCAGACACAAGUCAAUGAUUGCAGUAUAGCCACUUAAGUAAUCUAAAAGAGGUGGGGAGGCCACAGCUCAUGUGAAUGACUUUCUCAGGAGUUAUAAAGUGAUACAGACUUAUCAGCAGGUUGCAGGUGAACAUGGCCUUGAGUACUGCUUUUCUCCAUCAACUUUGUCACGUGCCUGUGGUCCGAGCUCCUUGGGAGGCUAAGGCAGGAGGAUCAUCUGAGCCCAGGAGUUCAAGGCUGCAUUGAGCUAUGAUCACACCACUGUCCUCCAGCCCAAGCAACAGAGCAAGACCCUGUCUCAAAAGAAAAACCAACAACAAAAAACCCACACUAUGUAAGCACUUUCUAUGUUGUAAAUGGUCUUUUGGGCCAUCAACUUGAACACUUGUAUAACAGUUAAUUGUGAACAGUUAAUGAAUGGAAACGCCAUCAUUUACCUGAUGGUUCUUCUAUUGUUGGACAUUUUGUUGUUUCCAAUUUUUCACCAUCAUACAUAACAGUGAGAAGCCCACCUUCAUGUUUAUCACUUUCUC
Molecule: long non-coding RNA, 922 nt
Organism: Pongo pygmaeus (Bornean orangutan)
Lineage: Eukaryota; Metazoa; Chordata; Mammalia; Primates; Hominidae
Exons: 5
Source: RefSeq, a predicted model, not a curated record